AGCGAACGCUGGCGGCAGGCCUAACACAUGCAAGUCGAGCGGGCACUCCGGUGUCAGCGGCAGACGGGUGUGUAACACGUGGGAACGUACCCUUCGGUUCGGAAUAACGCUGGGACACUAGCGCUAAUACCGGAUACGCCCUUUUGGGGAAAGGUUUAAUGCCCUAGGAUCGGCCCGCGUCGGAUUAGCUUGUUGGGGGGGUAAUGGCCUAUCACGGCGUCGAUCAGUAGCUGGGUUGAGAGGAAGGUCAGCGACGCUGGGACUAGGAUACGGCCCAGACUCCUACGCGAGGGAGGAGAGCGGGAUAUUGGACAAUGGGGGCAGGCCUGAAGGAGCCAGGCCGGGUGAGCGAUGAAGGCAGUAAAGUAGUAAAGCUCUUUUGUCCGGGACGAUAAUGACGGUACCGAAAGAAUAAGCCCCGGCUAACUUCGUG
This 433-nucleotide ribosomal RNA is filed under the name uncultured bacterium. RNAcentral's name for it is "partial 16S ribosomal RNA". It matches the Rfam family "Bacterial small subunit ribosomal RNA", at positions 29 to 507 of the family's 1533-position model. The record is from RNAcentral.